This 71-nucleotide transfer RNA is filed under the name Kibdelosporangium phytohabitans. RNAcentral describes it as "Kibdelosporangium sp. KLBMP 1111 tRNA". It matches the Rfam family "tRNA". From Rfam's summary of the family: Transfer RNA (tRNA) molecules are approximately 80 nucleotides in length. Their secondary structure includes four short double-helical elements and three loops (D, anti-codon, and T loops). Further hydrogen bonds mediate the characteristic L-shaped molecular structure. tRNAs have two regions of fundamental functional importance: the anti-codon, which is responsible for specific mRNA codon recognition, and the 3' end, to which the tRNAs corresponding amino acid is attached (by aminoacyl-tRNA synthetases). tRNAs cope with the degeneracy of the genetic code in two manners: having more than one tRNA (with a specific anti-codon) for a particular amino acid; and 'wobble' base-pairing, i.e. permitting non-standard base-pairing at the 3rd anti-codon position. Lineage: Bacteria; Bacillati; Actinomycetota; Actinomycetes; Pseudonocardiales; Pseudonocardiaceae. The record is from Rfam by way of RNAcentral.
GUGAGCGUCUUCCAACGGCAGGAUGUGUGCUUGCCAUGCACACGAUGCGGGUUCGAUUCCCGUCGCUCGCA